RNAcentral lists this ribosomal RNA (501 nucleotides) under uncultured bacterium. RNAcentral's name for it is "partial 16S ribosomal RNA". It matches the Rfam family "Bacterial small subunit ribosomal RNA", at positions 30 to 523 of the family's 1533-position model. The record is from RNAcentral.
AUUGAACGCUGGCGGCAGGCUUAACACAUGCAAGUCGAGCGGAGAUGAGGUGCUUGCACCUUAUCUUAGCGGCGGACGGGUGAGUAAUGCUUAGGAAUCUGCCUAUUAGUGGGGGACAACAUUCCGAAAGGAAUGCUAAUACCGCAUACGUCCUACGGGAGAAAGCAGGGGAUCUUCGGACCUUGCGCUAAUAGAUGAGCCUAAGUCGGAUUAGCUAGUUGGUGGGGUAAAGGCCUACCAAGGCGACGAUCUGUAGCGGGUCUGAGAGGAUGGUCCGCCAAACUGGGACUGAGACACGGCCCAGACUCCUACGGGAAGCAGCAGUGGGGAAUAUUGGACAAUGGGGGGAACCCUGAUCCAGCCAUGCCGCGUGUGUGAAGAAGGCCUUAUGGUUGUAAAGCACUUUAAGCGAGGAGGAGGCUACUGAGACUAAUACUCUUGGAUAGUGAACGUUACUCGCAGAAUAAGCACCGGCUAACUCUGUGCCAGCCGCCGCCGUAA